AGCAGCCGCGGUAAUUCCAGCUCCAAUAGCGUAUAUUAAAGUUGUUGCAGUUAAAAAGCUCGUAGUUGAAUUUCGGGGUUAGUAGAUUGGUCAUGCCUCUGGUAUGCACUGGUCUUACUGAUUCCUCCUUCCUGAUGAACCGUAAUGCCAUUAAUUUGGUGUUGCGGGGAAACUGGACUGUUACUUUGAAAAAUUAGAGUGUUUAAAGCAGGCUAACGCUUGAAUACAUUAGCAUGGAAUAAUGAAAUAGGACGUUCGAUCUUAUUUUGUUGGUUUCUAGGAUUGACGUAAUAAUUAAUAGGGAUAGUUGGGGGCGAUUAGUAUUCAAUUGUCAGAGGUGAAAUUCUUGGAUUUAUUGAAGACUAACUACUGCAAAGCAUUUGCCAAGGAUGUUUUCAUUAAUCAAGAACGAAAGUUAGGGGAUCGAAGACGAUCAGAUACCGUCGUAGUCUUAACCAUAAACUAUGCCGACUAGGGAUCGGAUGAUGUUAAUUUUUUAAUGUACUCAUUCGGCGCCUUA
Molecule: ribosomal RNA, 520 nt
Filed under: uncultured Glomus
Lineage: Eukaryota; Fungi; Glomeromycota; Glomeromycetes; Glomerales; Glomeraceae
Description: SSU rRNA
Rfam family: Eukaryotic small subunit ribosomal RNA
Source: RNAcentral